UACGGGGGGGGCAAGCGUUGUUCGGAAUUACUGGGCGUAAAGGGCUCGUAGGUGGCCAACUAAGUCAGACGUGAAAUCCCUCGGCUUAACCGGGGAACUGCGUCUGAUACUGGAUGGCUUGAGUUUGGGAGAGGGACGCGGAAUUCCAGGUGUAGCGGUGAAAUGCGUAGAUAUCUGGAGGAACACCGGUGGCGAAGGCGGCAUCCUGGACCGGCAUUGACGCUGAGGAGCGAAAGCUAGGGGAGCAAACGGG
This 253-nucleotide ribosomal RNA is filed under the name uncultured bacterium. Its description in RNAcentral is "partial 16S ribosomal RNA". It matches the Rfam family "Bacterial small subunit ribosomal RNA", at positions 524 to 776 of the family's 1533-position model. The record is from RNAcentral.